UAGUAUCAGUAUUGAAUGCUUUUACGAACGUCAACCACAUGACCAUGGCGCGUUAGUGCUUCUCAAGACGUUGAAGUGAGAGGACGCACUUCGUUUCUUGGAAUUAAUUAGUUUAUUUUUCUACUUUGUGAGUGAUAUAAACAACCUAUAGACGUUCUAUAUACGUUAAUAAAUAUCUAGAAACAACAGACGGAAAGAUACAGAAUAGUUUGGUUCAAGAAAUGAGUAAACUUGACAUUUAGCGAAAGUCAACAGACAGAAAACGUGAGUCUACGAAGAAGAAAACGCCAUGACGUUGGUGGACUGAGGCGUCUGAAGGCUCCGAAGACUCCCUGAAGGCUCCUGAAGACUCGUGAAGAUUCCUGAAGACUCGUGAAGAUUCCUGAAGACUCGUGAAGAUUCCUGAAGACUCGUGAAGAUUCCUGAAGACUCGUGAAGAUUCCUGAAGACUCGUGAAGAUUCCUGAAGACUCGUGAAGAUUCCUGAAGACUCGUGAAGAUUCCUGAAGACUCAUGAAGAUUCCUGAAGACUCGUGAAGAUUUAGUUAGCUGGUCGUCAAAAUGCUGGCAAACCGUGAGUGAGCAGCCGACGUGCCCGAGCCCAGACAACGUUAGUGUUGACCUGAUAGUCGUGGGAGAGAGAGUUUGUUGUGUCCUGUGACCUAAACGUGGAUUAUCUUCUUAACAGCCGCCCAGAGGAGCUUCUAUCUUAAGUUACAUAAGUGAGGAAUUAUUUAACCAGGUUUGGA
Molecule: long non-coding RNA, 748 nt
Organism: Homarus americanus (American lobster)
Lineage: Eukaryota; Metazoa; Arthropoda; Malacostraca; Decapoda; Nephropidae
Exons: 4
Source: RefSeq, a predicted model, not a curated record